Molecule: transfer RNA, 66 nt
Filed under: Unio pictorum (painter's mussel)
Lineage: Eukaryota; Metazoa; Mollusca; Bivalvia; Unionida; Unionidae
Description: tRNA-Arg
Source: RNAcentral
AGAAGAAAGCUAUCUCUAGCAAUAUGGUUUCGACCCAUAAAGUGAAUUUACACUAAUUCUCUUCUA